ACGAGCAGUGGGGAAGGUAAUUAGUCACAAUAGGGCGGCGAAGACCUCGAUGCAGCCACUGCCGCCGUGUAUGAAGAAAGGCCUUCGGGUUGUAAAGUACUUUCAGUCGUGAGGAAGGUGUUAAGGUUAAUAACCUUAGCAAUUGACGUUAGCGACAGAAGAAGCACCGGCUAACUCCGUGCCAGCAGCCGCGGUAAUACGGAGGGUGCGAGCGUUAAUCGGAAUUACUGGGCGUAAAGGGCACGCAGGCGGUUAAUUAAGUUGGAUGUGAAAUCCCCGGGCUUAACCUGGGAAUGGCAUUCAAGACUGGUUAGCUAGAGUCUUGUAGAGGGGGUAGAAUUCCAUGUGUAGCGGUGAAAUGCGUAGAGAUGUGGAGGAAUACCGGUGGCGAAGGCGGCCCCUGGACAAAGACUGACGCUCAUGUGCGAAAGCGUGGGGAGCAAAACAGGGAUUAGA
This 456-nucleotide ribosomal RNA is filed under the name uncultured bacterium. RNAcentral describes it as "bacterial SSU rRNA". It matches the Rfam family "Bacterial small subunit ribosomal RNA", at positions 341 to 782 of the family's 1533-position model. The record is from RNAcentral.